This 58-nucleotide transfer RNA is filed under the name Zootermopsis nevadensis. It matches the Rfam family "tRNA", at positions 8 to 63 of the family's 71-position model. Rfam says of the family: Transfer RNA (tRNA) molecules are approximately 80 nucleotides in length. Their secondary structure includes four short double-helical elements and three loops (D, anti-codon, and T loops). The record is from Rfam by way of RNAcentral. Lineage: Eukaryota; Metazoa; Arthropoda; Insecta; Blattodea; Termopsidae.
UGGUCUAGUGGUUAGAACGCUGGCCUUGUAAUCCUGGGGUCCCGGGUUCGAUUCCCGG